AGAACAGAGAAGGGCCAUUUCUGCUUUGUCUUCCCCGUCUAAGGGGGAGAGUCGCCCUAUAAGCACACAAGCACAGACCAAACACUCUGACUGAUUUUUUUUUUUGUGUGUGUGUGCGCAUGUCCGCGGAGACGUUUCGCGAGCGUACGUUGGCGACGCAGUACCAGCCACGCCAGCAUCUCCCGCCCAACUUCAGCGAUGUGCUGAAGGAGUACGCGCGGGAAGUGCUGCGCAAUCAGCCGUCGGAUAUUCUGGAAUGGAGCGCGGCGUAUUUCAAGAAGCUGGCCCUCGAGACGGACCCGCUGCAGGCAAAGCAGCCGCCGCCGGACCAUUACACCCCCCUCGUCGAGGACCCUGAGCGAGCGAUACUGGCGAACAAGAUGGUGAAAGUGUUCUCGACGAUGGACGUAUCAGAAAGUGGGCGGCUACCCGUUUCAGAGGUACGGCGAGCGCUGACGGAGGCAUUUGAGCUGACGGAGUCUCAGGCGCUCUACCUUCUUACAGCGCCAUUCACGACGAUCAUCGAGGACGACGGUAGCCGCAUGACAGGUGAUGCCAUCGAGUACAGCCCCUUCUCCCACGCAGCGGUGCGCACUAUUCAGUAUUUUCAGCAGCACCACGACUUCUCCUUCGACGUGGACAGCAGCGACACCUGCGCAACUGUGCACGGCAUGAACCGCUACGACAUCGAGCAAGGCUUUCUGCGCAUCUUUCGCCUCCUCGACGAGGCGGGGACGGGCCGCCUGCUUCUCCAAGACUACCAGGGCGCCUUGGAGAACGCACCGUACCACCUGACGCACCGCGACAUUUGCGUGCUGCGCCUCGAAUGUGACACGUGCGGCGGCGAAGGGGACACGGGGCCGCGUGAGGUGGAGUACGAGAAGGAGCUGCCGCACAUGUUCGAGCGCCUUCUGCUUGCCGAGGCUUUCAAUCUCUUCGAGGAGGAGGGGCAGAGCUAGGGCAGCGCAAGAGGACUCUCGGUGCAUCGCAUUCGCCAUGUGCUACCUCUCGCUCCUUCCACGGGCACUCGACACCUUUUUUUUUCCGUCCCGUGCACUCUCUCCCGCACACCACACGCUCACACACAACCAUGUGCACGAAAAAGGUGUUGAGGAAGCGCUAGCUGCUCCCAUGUAAAAAUAUCGACAGCAGCGUGCCACAUCAGCAAGGGAAGUGGGGUCCAGGAGAGACGGAUCGAUGCCGACCUGAAACGAAAAUGCUACUAACCUAGUCCUGUGCACAGACACACAAAAACACACAUACGCACAGCUACAUCUAGAGCCCAGUUCUCUCUUUACUAGUUGAUGCCGAGCACGCCUUUGUCUGUUCUCUUCUCCUCCUUUUUCCUUUUUCCUCUUUCCUUCUUCCCGUCUUGUUGCUUCCGCCAGUCAGACAGAUGGGCGCUGUCUCUGACCCCUUCCAACCUUUGUACGUUGUACAUAUGCUCCGCACGUUGCGCAUGGAUGCUGUGUUGUUGCAGCCAGCGCAGCCAACAGCG
RNAcentral lists this unclassified non-coding RNA (1498 nucleotides) under Leishmania donovani. RNAcentral's name for it is "gene:LdHU3.35.5340(CDS-product:Regulatory_subunit _of_type_II_PKA_R-subunit_putative)". The record is from RNAcentral. Lineage: Eukaryota; Euglenozoa; Kinetoplastea; Trypanosomatida; Trypanosomatidae.